UAACAGGCACUGCCACUAACCAGACAAGAAAAAGAUCCCUUGACAGACAAAGCCACCUGCACUGUAUCAAUACCAAGGUCAGCUAUUAGAACAGAGAUACCACCUGCUUUUCCUCCCCACGCGCCGAGAAUACAGGUAUGUGCGCCAGCCUGGCCUACGCGCUACUUCUUUUAUUAAAUGUGUGCAUGUUUUAUUUGUUAAGAGGUACUUUAUAAAGAAACAUUAAUUUUGACAGUAACUAUAUACAUUUAUCACUCAUUGUUACAUAUUUUAUAAAUCCUUUAGUUAUGGGAUCCAGAAAAGAAGAAAACACUACAAGAAUUUUUUUUGCAAGAGAUGCAGAUGGGAAAACUUUGUUUAGCUAGAGGGGAGCAUGGAAUGGGAUUUGAACAUUUCACCAAUGCCCUUUUAGUGUGUGGGCAACCGAAAGAGCUACUGAUGUUUUUCAAAAACACACUCCCUCCUGAGGUUUUUCAGAUGCUUUUGUACAAAAUUCCCAUUAUUUGCCAGGUGAGCAUGUAUUUAAUUAUCCUUGUAAAAUAGACAGUAAAUAACCACGGGGGACUUGAUUACAGGAAACAGUGGUAGGGAUGUGGACCCCUCCCCACCAAAGUUCUCAAGUAAUAUCUAUUUCUGGUUCUAUUCUUUCACUAAGGUAAGAGUAUCUUAUUUUCCAUGUUUUACUAUAGUGAAUUGUGUGAUUUGUUAUUACAUGUGUUUUAACAUUGCAAUUUUAAAGCAGAGUGGUACUUCUUACUAACCUGA
Molecule: long non-coding RNA, 765 nt
Filed under: Rattus norvegicus (Norway rat)
Lineage: Eukaryota; Metazoa; Chordata; Mammalia; Rodentia; Muridae
Description: long non-coding RNA NONRATT024360
Source: RNAcentral